CGGGAAUCAGGGGAAGGAGCCCAAGAGGAAAGUGGUCAGGAAUCUGGAGUUAAGAACACCUUUGCUCUUGUCUAAGUAGAAGGUUAGAAGCUAAAUGAUAGGGCUCAGAGGACUUAUAUUUGGGGGAAUCCUUUUACAAUAGGGAAAGGAGGUCUUUUGGACACCACUGCUCCUGAAAGAGACAGAAAAAUGAGCUCCCUUGGGCAAAGUUCCUGACAGCACUUCCUAACCCAGCUCUGGUUUCUGCCCUUGGUGCCCAACUGUCUGUCCUGCUCUGAUGUUGCCACUCAUGAUUAUUGAUGCACAUGUGUGGGCCCUCGGUGACUCCUGGUUUACUAGUCUUCCUUCCUUGAUACUGUUCUUGGAAUCUACUCAUGAAGUAAUCCAGGUUGAGGUUCCCGGGCCAUGUUUAUAGGUGGGGAGCAAUCCUACCAAAUGGAAUGCAUCUUCUCAACUACCUCACAGCUUUACUUUCUGGCCGUCUGAGACUUGGGCAUCUUGCCUGCCCCGACAUAGGAGUUAUCCUGGAAUAUAUUCACUCUGACUCUCCUUGAUGUGCUAAGUGGCUUUCUUUCUUGGAAUGGUCUAUAGAGCAGCUUUUUGGUCAUUCGAAGCUUCCUUGGACAAAAUCAGUGUGUAUGUGAGGGGAGAGGGAGACAGACAGGGCAAGAGAAAGGAAAGAUAUGAAUAUAUUUUAAAUCUUUAAUGAAAAAAUGAGUCUCCUACACUUAUAUUAAAAAAACAGAAUUUCCUUUCUAUACAGCUCAUUCAUUCAUUCAUUCAAUACAGGCAAAGUGGUAUGAUGAGGGGGAGGCUCCCAGGCUUUGCUGGAUUUAGUGUCCCUAUGCUGCCUAGGGAACCUGCGAAGACUAGUCAAUUGGAUAAAGAGCAUUCUGCCAAGGUAGCAAGACCACAUAGCCUUAGAGCACUUUGUUCCCAGGGGCUACUCAGGGUGGGCGGAUUGGCUUGGCCUCAUGAAUCUACUUUCACAUUGGCUUUAUUUAUAACUUGCAAAUGGUUGGAAUAUACUUGGCAUUUAUAAUUUGUCCAAUUUUUGUUUCUUCAUUUACUCACUCAUGCAUUAUUCUGUCCAGGUGUGAAUCAAUCCAUCCAUCCAUCCAUCCACCCACCCAUCCAUCCAUCCAUCAUCCAUCCAUCCCCCAGAUCAAGUAUCAAAUCCUGCACUGUGAUGCUACAAAUGGGAGUGAGUCUUGAUCUUAAAGUGCUUUCCAGAGGCAUGACCUCUGACAGGUAAGCUAGAAAGUGGAAAGGGUCAUUCUAGAGAGUCCAAGCUGGGAGCAUUUCUAUUGUAUCUACAUGAGUAGAAGCAGGGAAAACUCCAAGAAUGGGCAAGGAGUAGGAAGGACCAGGGAGUCGAUCAGAAAAGUGAAGGAGGAUGGACUGUGGCAGGCCGGCCAGGUUGGUGGUGACAGAAUGGAGAGGAGGAAAGGAGAAAUUUUGCCUUUCUUUUUUUCUAUUUGUACCAAGGAUUGAGCCCAUGGUGCUUAACCACCGAGCCAUAUUCCCACCCAUUUUUAUAUUUUGUUAGAGACAGGGUCUUACUGAGUGGCUUAGGGCCUCGCUAUGUUGCUGAGGCUGGGUUUGAACUCAUGAUCCUCCUGCCUUAGCCUCCUGAGUCACUGGGAUUACAGGUAUGCGCCACUGUGCCUUUCUUCUUUCUGUGUCACUGCCAUGGGGGUUCUGACUGCCCUGCAUCCUCACAGCAGGAUGGGGACUCAUGGCCUCAUCAGUCUGCCUUCAAGCCUUCCCACAUGGGAUGUGUUCUACACACCCUAAAGUUCAAGGUGGGAUGGACUCUGUGAGGGAGGCUACUUGGGUCCAAACCUCUGCUCUUUUGCUUAUUAGCUGUGUGACUUGGGAAAGUUACUCAUCUCUGAGCUUCUCUUACUGACUUAUAAAAUAGUUGUGAAAAUAAUGCAUUUACUUAUAUAAAAAUUUUCUGCAGAUGAGGAAAUCAUUGAGGGAGUCUUAGUGAAUUCUAACGAGCCCCCGUUCUUAGCCGGCUCUUUGGCACGAAGGAUGCACAGCUUAGAAAAUCCUGAGUCCGGUGCCUUGCACACAGAUGAUGGCUAUUAUUGCUGCGACCUUGGCGUUAUCAGC
Molecule: long non-coding RNA, 2121 nt
Filed under: Marmota monax (woodchuck)
Lineage: Eukaryota; Metazoa; Chordata; Mammalia; Rodentia; Sciuridae
Source: RNAcentral